AGCAGCCGCGGUAAUUCCAGCUCCAAUAGCGUAUAUUAAAGUUGUUGCAGUUAAAAAGCUCGUAGUUGAAUUUCGAGACCGGUUUACUGGUCGUGCUUUUGUACGUACUGGUAUUAUUGGUUUCUCCUUUCUGACGAAUCUUAAUGCCAUUAAUUUGGUGUUUUGGGGAAUCAGGACUGUUACUUUGAAAAAAUUAGAGUGUUUAAAGCAGGCUCACGCUUGAAUACAUUAGCAUGGAAUAACGGAAUAGGACGUUUGAUUCUAUUUUGUUGGUUUCUAGGAUCGACGUAAUGAUUAAUAGGGAUAGUUGGGGGCAUUAGUAUUCAAUUGUCAGAGGUGAAAUUCUUGGAUUUAUUGAAGACUAACUACUGCGAAAGCAUUUGCCAGGAUGUUUUCAUUAAUCAAGAACGAAAGUUAGGGGAUCGAAGACGAUCAGAUACCGUCGCAGUCUUAACCAUAAACUAUGCCGACUAGGGAUCGGAUGAUGUUAAUUUUUUAAUGUACUCAUUCGGCGCCUUAC
RNAcentral lists this ribosomal RNA (520 nucleotides) under uncultured Glomus. RNAcentral's name for it is "SSU rRNA". It matches the Rfam family "Eukaryotic small subunit ribosomal RNA", at positions 569 to 1091 of the family's 1831-position model. The record is from RNAcentral. Lineage: Eukaryota; Fungi; Glomeromycota; Glomeromycetes; Glomerales; Glomeraceae.